UACGGAGGAUCCGAGCGUUAUCCGGAUUAUUGGGUUUAAAGGGUGCGUAGGCGGUUUUAUAAGUCAGUGGUGAAAGGUUAGAGCUUAACUUUGACAGCGCCAUUGAAACUGUAUAACUUGAGUACAGAUGAAGUUGGCGGAAUGUGGCAAGUAGCGGUGAAAUGCAUAGAUAUGCCACAGAACACCGAUAGCGAAGGCAGCUGACUAAGGUGAUACUGACGCUGAAGCACGAAGGCGUGGGGAUCAAACAGG
This 252-nucleotide ribosomal RNA is filed under the name uncultured bacterium. RNAcentral describes it as "partial 16S ribosomal RNA". It matches the Rfam family "Bacterial small subunit ribosomal RNA", at positions 524 to 776 of the family's 1533-position model. The record is from RNAcentral.